This 1408-nucleotide long non-coding RNA is filed under the name Homo sapiens (human). RNAcentral's name for it is "non-protein coding lnc-KCNA1-97:18". Lineage: Eukaryota; Metazoa; Chordata; Mammalia; Primates; Hominidae. The record is from RNAcentral.
ACUGUGCGCGAGAGAGGAGGGAAAGGGGAAGCGUUCGUGCCUCUCUGCCCCCUGUCCCCCUCUUGCUGCAUAGUAGCCACAUCCAUGUCUCUUGUACCCUGCAAUCUGGAGGCCACUGCCAGAAGCUGGAAAUCUCAAGUAGAGCAGCAAAAGGCUUGAGGAUGGAUUCUUGGCUCCUGGUGCAUUGCCACUCCCUGCCACCCUCCUCCUUGUCUUCUAUCUUCUCCUGGUGGCGUCAGGCCUUGCUUCGUGUCCCAACAGGAGCCUCUGGGGCUGGCACAGCCCUCACUGCCUACAACCUGGGCCUGGUGGUUCUCCUAGGGUGCCUCUGGGAGGUCAUGGUCACCCCGCUGCUGGCUAACUGCAGCUACUUCUGCCAGCCAGUGGACUACAGAUGGAGAAAGCAUGGAAUGAGGGUAUGGCAGGGAGCAGGAAGCAAGCCUGGAGAGGGUUAGGAGGAACAACUUCAUAACAAUCGGAGGUCAAGGAGGCAUCUUCCUGGAGACAGGAAGGUAGGCACUGUGGAAUCAGCGGUGCGUAGAACAGUGAGGAUUUGGGGCUGAACCCAGCCCAGGUGGGCCAAGCCGUGGCACCAGCCGGACUGCAGUCUGAUGGAACUUCCCCUUCCUGCCCAGCAGAUGGCGAGCGUGUGCUGCUGGUGCCUCUUUCCAAAGGACGUUGAAUUGCUUGACAGCCCUGCCCAGCAUCUAGAAGACCACCUGAAGCUUUCACACUUUGAGACCUUAGAUCCUGCGAGGGUUUGAAUUUCAAAAGCUUCAAUUAAAGCACACAGUGUUCUUUACUUUAUGAAUGAAGCCAGAGCAGCCCACCUUCCUGCAUCUCUACCACCAUGGCACCAUGCCCUGUGAUGGGUGGGCUGGAGUCAAAUAUGUAGCAGGCAGCCAGGGUCAGUUUGUGGCCACUGCUGCCCCCUCUUCCUACAGUCUCCUCACUGAGUGCCCCUUCCCUGUUGGGUUCAACACAUCUGUGCUCCUGUAAGCCCUCAGCCUCCUCGUUCUCUUCCUCAACUUCUACCACCAGACACAUCUGAGAAGCAAGCAAGAGAGGCUGAACUAGGAGCAGGACCCAGGGACUGAAACCAGCACAGCAUCCCCACAGAGAAUUGGGUGGAAGGCAGCAUGGCUUCCAGCUUACUGGUGCUGAGCAGAUUGCUCUGGGUCUCCAUUGUAUCCUCUGAAGGAAGGAGGAGGAUUGCCUUCUGUCCAGAUCUCAGGAUCAAACAAAUAGGUCCAAUUUCCUGUGCUCACUUCAGUUAGAGCACUUCUCAUGUGACUUUGUAGCUUUGUGUGCAUCUCCUUCCUCUACUAGACCUAAGCCCCUCACGGGAGGGACUCUCUUAUUCUUGAUGUUCCCCACACCUGGAAUUUCAAUAAACAUCUCAAUAAAC